GCCAGUGUGGUGUAGUGAUUUGAAUGUUAGAUUAGGACUCUGGAAACCAGGGUUUGAAUCCUUGCUCAGCCA
Phrynosoma platyrhinos (Desert horned lizard) is the source of this 72-nucleotide non-coding RNA. Lineage: Eukaryota; Metazoa; Chordata; Lepidosauria; Squamata; Phrynosomatidae. The record is from the annotation of a GenBank genome assembly.